UACCAGCGUGCAAGAGACAGACCGGAUCCUGU
Molecule: non-coding RNA, 32 nt
Filed under: Homo sapiens (human)
Lineage: Eukaryota; Metazoa; Chordata; Mammalia; Primates; Hominidae
Source: RNAcentral